RNAcentral lists this ribosomal RNA (471 nucleotides) under Peripatidae sp. JPR31. RNAcentral describes it as "partial large subunit ribosomal RNA". It matches the Rfam family "Bacterial large subunit ribosomal RNA", at positions 1809 to 2608 of the family's 2925-position model. Lineage: Eukaryota; Metazoa; Onychophora; Udeonychophora; Euonychophora; Peripatidae. The record is from RNAcentral.
AAAAACAUAGCUUUUUGUAAAUGUAAAAGGUGAUGUCUGCCCAAUGAAUUUUGAAUGGCCAUGGUAUUUUAUGACUUAUGCAAAGGUAGCAUAAUCAUUUUGUCUUAUAAAUUAAGACUAGAAUGAAUGGAUUAAUGGGGUAAUUUCUUUCUUAAAUUAAAGUUUAAAAUUAAUUUUUUUAGUGAAGAAACUAAAAUAAUUAUGAGGGACGAGAAGACCCUAUUAAGCUUAAUAUAAUUAUUUUAUUGGGGAAAUAAAAGAAAAAAAUUUCUUUUUUGAUUUUAUUGAUAAAUAAUGAUUUAUUAUUAAUAAUAAUAGAAUAAGUUACUAUAGGGAUAACAGCAUAAUUUUUUUUAAAAGUUCUUAUUGACAAUAAAGAUUAUGACCUCGAUGUUGGAUUAUAAAUAUUAUAUGAUGAAGGUUGUUGUAUAAAUUAGUCUGGUUCGACUAUUAAAUUUUUACAUGAUCUGA